Molecule: ribosomal RNA, 495 nt
Filed under: uncultured bacterium
Lineage: Bacteria
Description: partial 16S ribosomal RNA
Rfam family: Bacterial small subunit ribosomal RNA
Source: RNAcentral
GACGAACGCUGGCGGCGUGCCUAAUACAUGCAAGUAGAACGCUGAAGGAGGAGCUUGCUUCUCUGGUUGAGUUGCGAACGGGUGAGUAACGCGUAGGUAACCUGCCUGGUAGCGGGGGAUAACUAUUGGAAACGAUAGCUAAUACCGCAUAAUAGUAGAUGUUGCAUGACAUUUACUUAAAAGGUGCAAUUGCAUCACUACCAGAUGGACCUGCGUUGUAUUAGCUAGUUGGUGGGGUAACGGCUCACGAAGGCGACGAUACAUAGCCGCACGGAGAGGGUGAGCAGCCGGACUGAGAGGGUGACACGCCCCAGAGGGAUUGAGGUGGCAGCAGUAGGGAAACUGGAGCAAUGGGCGGGAGUCUGACCGAACAGCGCGGAGUGAGUGUGGAGGGUCUUCGGGUCGUAGAGGUCUGUUGUAAGGGUGGAAAGAGUGUGAGAGUGGGAAGUAGACACAGUGACGGUAACUUACAAAAAAGGAACGGCUAACUACGUG